UGCGCGGUUAGUAUAUCGGUAGUAUGGAGCCUUCCCAAGGCUCAGAGGCGGGUUCAAUUCCCGCACCGCGCAU
This 73-nucleotide transfer RNA is filed under the name uncultured archaeon. RNAcentral describes it as "tRNA-Gly(ccc)". It matches the Rfam family "tRNA". Rfam says of the family: Transfer RNA (tRNA) molecules are approximately 80 nucleotides in length. The record is from RNAcentral.